RNAcentral lists this ribosomal RNA (1434 nucleotides) under metagenome. RNAcentral describes it as "bacterial SSU rRNA". It matches the Rfam family "Bacterial small subunit ribosomal RNA". The record is from RNAcentral.
GGCGGCGUGCCUAACACAUGCAAGUUGAACGAAGAGGCUCCCUUCGGGGAGCACUUCAGUAGCGUAACGGUGAGUAACACGUAGGUGACCUGCCCCGAAGCAGGGAAUAACGGCUCGAAAGGGCCGCUAAUACCCAAAAGGAUCGCGUAUCAAACCGCGUUCAGAGCCCCCUUCGGGGGACGUUUCGGGAGGGGCCUGCGGCCCAUCAGCUAGUUGGUAGGGUAAUGGCCUACCAAGGCGACGACGGGUAGGGGGCCUGAGAGGGUGGUCCCCCACACUGGCACUGACACACGGGCCAGACUCCUACGGGAGGCAGCAGUGAGGAAUAUUGCACAAUGGGCGAAAGCCUGAUGCAGCAACGCCGCGUGGGUGAUGAUGGCCUUCGGGUCGUAAAACCCUUUUCUGGGGAAAGAGAGAGGACGGUACCCCAGGAAUAAGGUUCGGCUAACUACGUGCCAGCAGCCGCGGUAAAACGUAGGAACCGAGCGUUAUCCGGAUUCAUUGGGCGUAAAGCGCCUGCAGGCGGUCUUGUAAGUUGGACGUGAAAUCUCUCGGCUCAACUGGGAGGUGCCGUUCAAUACUGCAGGACUUGAGGGCAGAAGAGGGAAGCGGAAUUCCCGGUGUAGUGGUGAAAUGCGUAGAUAUCGGGAGGAACACCAGUGGCGAAGGCGGCUUCCUGGUCUGCACCUGACGCUAAGAGGCGAAAGCUAGGGUAGCGAACGGGAUUAGAAACCCCGGUAGUCCUAGCCGUAAACGAUGGACGCUAGGUGUAGGUGGUCCUAACCCCAUCUGUGCCGAAGCUAACGCGUUAAGCGUCCCGCCUGGGGACUACGACCGCAAGGUUAAAACUCAAAGGAAUUGACGGGCCCCCGCACAAGCAGCGGAGCGUGUGGUUUAAUUCGAUCCUACACGAAGAACCUUACCCAGGUUUGACAUGCAAGUAGUAGUGAAACGAAAGUGGAACGACCCUUCGGGGAGCUUGCACAGGUGCUGCAUGGCUGUCGUCAGCUCGUGCCGUGAGGUGUUGGGUUAAGUCCCCUAACGAGCGCAACCCUCGCCGUCAGUUACAAGUGUCUGACGGGACUGCCGGCCUCAAGCCGGAGGAAGGUGGGGGUGAUGUCAAGUCAGCAUGGCCUUUAUGCCUGGGGCUACACACACGCUACAAUGGCCGGUACAAUGGGUUGCCAACCCGCAAGGGGGAGCCAAUCCCACAAAGCCGGUCUCAGUUCGGAUUGGAGGCUGCAACCCGCCUCCAUGAAGCUGGAGUUGCUAGUAAACGCGCGUCAGCCAUAGUGCGUUGAAUACGUUCCCGGGGCUUGUACACACCGCCCGUCACGUCAUGGGAGCUGGCAACACCUGAAGCCGGUGAGCUAACCGCAAGGAGGCAGCCGUCGAGGGUGGGGCUGGUGACUGGGACGAAGUCGUAACAAGGUA